RNAcentral lists this ribosomal RNA (739 nucleotides) under bacterium. RNAcentral describes it as "bacterial SSU rRNA". It matches the Rfam family "Bacterial small subunit ribosomal RNA", at positions 53 to 778 of the family's 1533-position model. The record is from RNAcentral.
ACAUGCAAAGUCGAACGGCAGCACAGUAAGAGCUUGCUCUUAUGGGUGGCGAGUGGCGGACGGGUGAGGAAUACAUCGGAAUCUACCUUUUCGUGGGGGAUAACGUAGGGAAACUUACGCUAAUACCGCAUACGACCUUCGGGUGAAAGCAGGGGACCUUCGGGCCUUGCGCGGAUAGAUGAGCCGAUGUCGGAUUAGCUAGUUGGCGGGGUAAAGGCCCACCAAGGCGACGAUCCGUAGCUGGUCUGAGAGGAUGAUCAGCCACACUGGAACUGAGACACGGUCCAGACUCCUACGGGAGGCAGCAGUGGGGAAUAUUGGACAAUGGGCGCAAGCCUGAUCCAGCCAUACCGCGUGGGUGAAGAAGGCCUUCGGGUUGUAAAGCCCUUUUGUUGGGAAAGAAAAGCAGUCGGCUAAUACCCGGUUGUUCUGACGGUACCCAAAGAAUAAGCACCGGCUAACUUCGUGCCAGCAGCCGCGGUAAUACGAAGGGUGCAAGCGUUACUCGGAAUUACUGGGCGUAAAGCGUGCGUAGGUGGUUGUUUAAGUCUGUUGUGAAAGCCCUGGGCUCAACCUGGGAAUUGCAGUGGAUACUGGGCGACUAGAGUGUGGUAGAGGGUAGUGGAAUUCCCGGUGUAGCAGUGAAAUGCGUAGAGAUCGGGAGGAACAUCCAUGGCGAAGGCAGCUACCUGGACCAACACUGACACUGAGGCACGAAAGCGUGGGGAGCAACAGGAAA